CGUGCCGCUUGAUUAAAAAUGUCCUUCGCGAUAAGAAACUAACCAGGAGCGUCACACAAUCUUAUCACAAGACACAGCGAUGAUCUCUUCCGUAAUGUGAGUUAUCGUAAGCGCCACUCGUACGAGAUAAGUCGCAGCACAACAAUAUUUUCCAACUACCUGCCUCGAAGAACUGUCAAGCCUCUGUGAAAGACGAAGUCUUUCGUCCGGUCGUAUACUUCACGAUAAACAACCACCCCGCACGAUAUUAACGUUACAUACAUCUUGGGGCCCGCGGCCAUCACUGAUUUCCACUGAUCUUCUGACAGUGGCGCCGCUGUUCCUGAACGGGAGAACGUGGAAUCAAAACGGAGCAUGCGCUUCUUUUCGAAUUCUGGGUAUUCCCAAUGUUAAGACGAAUGGUUGGAUAAUACAUAUGUAUAUAAUGCGUAAUACACACAGUAUCACAGAAUUGUGAUGGGUAUAGGUUCAGAUAAGAGUGAUGCAUUCGUUUAGUAUUGUUCACACAAGUAGCAAGAAACAGGGAGAAUAUCUUCAGGACCUUCGAUGCCAACUCCCUCAGAACCUCUGUCACCUUUAUCGCCCCGUUCCCCUGGUGGACCUUGAGGACCUACAGGGCCCACAGGUCCAGGAAGUCCUACAAAGCCUCGUUCACCUGGCAGACCAGGUACACCUGGAUCACCUGCACCACGUAAAAGAAUACAUUCAGAAUCACAGUGGUUUCACGCAAACUUGCUGUUGAUUAAAAAGCAAAGAAAAGCCUUUUCCCAGUAAAGUUUGAAAAUAACUAGAAUAUUUGCAAAGUUAAUAAAUGCACUAUACGUAUAUGAAAACUAACUAAAAAUGUUGUCUAUACUAUAUAGAUAUUUAAAAAAGUUAUUUAAGAAUAUACAAAUUGAACUUUUAAUUCUACUAAAAAUUGUGUGAAAUACUACAGUAAUAGUAUAUGUAAUGGAAAAAUACUACAUAUAGAAAGGAA
Molecule: long non-coding RNA, 979 nt
Organism: Cephus cinctus (wheat stem sawfly)
Lineage: Eukaryota; Metazoa; Arthropoda; Insecta; Hymenoptera; Cephidae
Exons: 3
Source: RefSeq, a predicted model, not a curated record